GGGGUUAUGUUGAUUGGCAAGCUCUUGAUCAGGGCAGCAUGGCCCUGCUGCUGCCCAUAGUUAGGUGAGGACUGCACAGCUUGGGUUGGGUCUUCUCAGUCCCUAGGUCCAUCACCCUUGGCACAAGAACCAAAGGUCCAUCUAGGGAUGCUUCAGACGAAUGCCAGCCUCUACAUGUGAGGAGGACAAGGUCACAUCAAGAGCGCCCUCACCCUGAUGUCAUUGGAAGACUUCCUGUUGCACUGUCAUGGCAUCCCUUAGUCAUAUACAACCUUUUUUUAAAAUAAAGGGCUCUGGAACACA
Hemicordylus capensis (graceful crag lizard) is the source of this 303-nucleotide long non-coding RNA. RefSeq lists it as uncharacterized. The transcript has 2 exons. Lineage: Eukaryota; Metazoa; Chordata; Lepidosauria; Squamata; Cordylidae. The record is from RefSeq and is a predicted model, not a curated record.